UACGGGGGGGGCAAGCGUUGUUCGGAAUUACUGGGCGUAAAGGGCUCGUAGGCGGCCAACUAAGUCAGACGUGAAAUCCCUCGGCUUAACCGGGGAACUGCAUCUGAUACUGGAUGGCUUGAGUUCGGGAGAGGGAUGCGGAAUUCCCGGUGUAGCGGUGAAAUGCGCAGAUAUCGGGAGGAACACCCGUAGCGAAGGCGGCACUCUGGGCCGGAACUGACGCUGAGGAGCGAAAGCGUGGGGAGCAAACAGG
RNAcentral lists this ribosomal RNA (253 nucleotides) under uncultured bacterium. RNAcentral describes it as "partial 16S ribosomal RNA". It matches the Rfam family "Bacterial small subunit ribosomal RNA", at positions 524 to 776 of the family's 1533-position model. The record is from RNAcentral.